CCCUUAGAUGUUCUGGGCUGCACGCGCGCUACACUGAUGCGUUCAACGAGUUUAUGACCUUGCCCGAUAGGGUUGGGUAAUCUUUUUAAAUCACAUCGUGAUGGGGAUAGAUUAUUGCAAUUAUUAAUCUUCAACGAGGAAUUCCUAGUAAGCGCAAGUCAUCAGCUUGCGUUGAUUACGUCCCUGCCCUUUGUACACACCGCCCGUCGCUCCUACCGAUUGAAUGGUCCGGUGAAGCGUUCGGACCGUGGCCUUUGGACGGUUCGCCGUCUGUUGGCUGCGGGAAGUUCGUUAAACCUUAUCAUUUAGAGGAAGGAGAAGUCGUAACA
This 329-nucleotide ribosomal RNA is filed under the name uncultured eukaryote. Its description in RNAcentral is "partial 18S ribosomal RNA". It matches the Rfam family "Eukaryotic small subunit ribosomal RNA", at positions 1470 to 1796 of the family's 1831-position model. The record is from RNAcentral.